Molecule: long non-coding RNA, 877 nt
Filed under: Panax ginseng (ginseng)
Lineage: Eukaryota; Viridiplantae; Streptophyta; Magnoliopsida; Apiales; Araliaceae
Description: long non-coding RNA (PGIN_LNC007402)
Source: RNAcentral
UCAUCCCACAAAUCCUGAUCACCCCUGAUUACCUGCCGGAAAAAAAACACAGCGUGAGCCAAUUGCCCAGUACGGAUACAAAGAUGAAUAAAUAUAUCACAAUAAAUAAUGAAUCUAAAAGAAUUUAAUGAAUGAACAUGUAAAUUACAAACGACUGACGAAUAGAUCAAAAUUUGAGAGUCCAUUAACAAAUGACUAACACUGUCAAUCGAAUAAUUAUAGCCAAAAGAAUUCCAAAUAAAUAAGGCUAAAUCAAAUGGUUGUAAGAUAACAAUUUCAUACUGAGCUCAAAUACAAAUAGCCAAAGGCUAACAAAAUACAUCGGUACCAUGAUGUAUACAAAUCAAAUCGGAUAGUACGCACGACACAUACGUCACUAAUCCUCCAAACAAAUCAAAUCAAAUCAAAUACUGGGUCGACCCAUACAUAUCCUGAACAAAUAUAUCAAAUGGCCAAAGCUCAUAGCCAGAGCAUACAAAAGGAUACGCCGUGGACUAAUCACACCGCCACGGAAGGUGUCAUGCCCUUGUGUCAAGAGGACAUGCCUGUGGUACCCCCACAGGUGGUUAGCUCAAGUAUACCCUAAGGAUCAAACUACAAAAUGUAAGCCAAAAGGGGUUCAAAUCACAAGUCUUACAUGACCAUAUUCAAAUGAAAUUGAAUUAUCAAAUACAAACAUUAUUAAUUAUCACAAUAUAUCAAUGAUCAAAAUAACUCCCGAAUGUGAACGAAAAUAUACGAACAAUGGUACAAACGAAUAAAGUCCCCAAAACAUAUUGGCACGAUUAACUAGUUCAAAGAGUACAAAUACGAAUUCCAAUAUCAACGCCAAAACGAAACUAUCUCAAUAAUUUUGACAACAAGAAAUAAUCCUGAG